RNAcentral lists this ribosomal RNA (672 nucleotides) under uncultured bacterium. Its description in RNAcentral is "bacterial SSU rRNA". It matches the Rfam family "Bacterial small subunit ribosomal RNA", at positions 60 to 705 of the family's 1533-position model. The record is from RNAcentral.
AGUUCUCGUUGAUGAUUGGUGCUUGCACCGAGAUUCAACAUGGAACGAGUGGCGGACGGGUGAGUAACACGUGGGUAACCUGCCCUUAAGUGGGGGAUAACAUUUGGAAACAGAUGCUAAUACCGCAUAGAUCCAAGAACCGCAUGGUUCUUGGCUGAAAGAUGGCGUAAGCUAUCGCUUUUGGAUGGACCCGCGGCGUAUUAGCUAGUUGGUGAGGUAACGGCUCACCAAGGCGAUGAUACGUAGCCGAACUGAGAGGUUGAUCGGCCACAUUGGGACUGAGACACGGCCCAAACUCCUACGGGAGGCAGCAGUAGGGAAUCUUCCACAAUGGACGCAAGUCUGAUGGAGCAACGCCGCGUGAGUGAAGAAGGCUUUCGGGUCGUAAAACUCUGUUGUUGGAGAAGAAUGGUCGGCAGAGUAACUGUUGCCGGCGUGACGGUAUCCAACCAGAAAGCCACGGCUAACUACGUGCCAGCAGCCGCGGUAAUACGUAGGUGGCAAGCGUUAUCCGGAUUUAUUGGGCGUAAAGCGAGCGCAGGCGGUUUUUUAAGUCUGAUGUGAAAGCCCUCGGCUUAACCGAGGAAGCGCAUCGGAAACUGGCAAACUUGAGUGCAGAAGAGGACAGUGGAACUCCAUGUGUAGCGGUGAAAUGCGUAGAUAUAUGGAAGA